GGAGAACGUGCCCUUAAGUGGAGGAUAAUCUCGGGAAAUUGAGGAUAAUACUCCAUAGAUCAUGGGAUCUGGAAUGACCCAUGGUUGAAAGUUCCGGCGCUUAAGGAUCGCUCUGCGGCUUAUCAGGUUGUAGUGGGUGUAACGUACCCCCUAGCCAGUGACGAGUAUGGGCCUUGAGAGAGGGAGCCCAGAGUUGGAUUCUGAGACACGAAUCCAGGCCCUACGGGGCGCAGCAGUCGCGAAAACUUCACACUGGGGGCAACCCCGAUGAGGGAAUUCCUAGUGCUAGGACAUUUGUUCUAGCUUUUCUCUAGCGUAGAUAACUAGAGGAAUAAGGGCUGGGUAAGACGGGUGCCAGCCGCCGCGGUAAUAUCUGCAGCCCAAGUGGUGGUCGAUUUUAUUGAGUCUAAAGCGUUCGUAGCCGGUUUGAUAAAUCCUUGGGUAAAUCGGGAAGCUUAACUUUCCGACUUCCGAGGAGACUGUCAAACUUGGGACCGGGAGAGGCUAGAGGUACUUCUGGGGUAGGGGUAAAAUCCUGUAAUCCUAGAAGGACCACCGGUGGCGAAGGCGUCUAGCUAGAACGGAUCCGACGGUGAGGGACGAAGCCCUGGGUCGCAAACGGGAUUAGAUACCCCGGUAGUCCAGGGUGUAAACGCUGCCGACUUGGUGUUGGAGGCCCUUCGGGGGCAUUCAGUGCCGGAGAGAAGUUGUUAAGUCGGCCACUUGGGGAGUACGUCCGCAAGGAUGAAACUUAA
RNAcentral lists this ribosomal RNA (755 nucleotides) under uncultured archaeon. RNAcentral describes it as "bacterial SSU rRNA". It matches the Rfam family "Archaeal small subunit ribosomal RNA", at positions 102 to 859 of the family's 1478-position model. The record is from RNAcentral.